Molecule: long non-coding RNA, 397 nt
Organism: Salvia miltiorrhiza (redroot sage)
Lineage: Eukaryota; Viridiplantae; Streptophyta; Magnoliopsida; Lamiales; Lamiaceae
Exons: 3
Source: RefSeq, a predicted model, not a curated record
CAGACGCUAUUUUCUCCCACUUGUUCUUUCAUUUCUUUUGUUGUUUCCUCACCAAGCUUUCGGAACAAUUGAAUCCUCUUAUAAUCAUCCAAGAGUACAGGUUCGAGUGGCUUUAUAAAGUAAACAAGCAAGGAUCUCUACUUCAUUAAGCAUACCAGGUUGAGUAGCUGCCGAUGGUGAUGAGGUGACGAGCGGGACUCUUUUGUCUUAUUAUGUAUUAAUGAACUCUAGGGAUACAUGUCUUCAUACAUGUGAUCAGAACCUUAUUCCGCUGCGUACUCAGAAGUUUUAUGUUAUUUUGGCUAAGUCGGAAUUAUCCGAACUUACUAGUUAUUUGAGUCUAUACGACUAAACCUCCGUUAUAUUAUAAAUAUCUCUUUUGUUAACAAUGAUGAAA